Molecule: ribosomal RNA, 874 nt
Filed under: Phlebiopsis lamprocystidiata
Lineage: Eukaryota; Fungi; Basidiomycota; Agaricomycetes; Polyporales; Phanerochaetaceae
Description: partial large subunit ribosomal RNA
Rfam family: Eukaryotic large subunit ribosomal RNA
Source: RNAcentral
CCCUAGUAACUGCGAGUGAAGCGGGAAAAGCUCAAAUUUAAAAUCUGGUAGCUUUCGGUUGCCCGAGUUGUAGUCUGGAGAAGCGUCUUCCGCGCUGGACCGUGUACAAGUCUCUUGGAACAGAGCGUCAUAGAGGGUGAGAAUCCCGUCUUUGACACGGACUACCAGUGCUUUGUGAUGCGCUCUCAAAGAGUCGAGUUGUUUGGGAAUGCAGCUCAAAAUGGGUGGUAAAUUCCAUCUAAAGCUAAAUAUUGGCGAGAGACCGAUAGCGAACAAGUACCGUGAGGGAAAGAUGAAAAGCACUUUGGAAAGAGAGUUAAACAGUACGUGAAAUUGCUGAAAGGGAAACGAUUGAAGUCAGUCGCGUCUUCUAGUACUCAGCCUUCCUUUUGGUUGGUGCAUUUACUAGUCGACGGGCCAGCAUCAGUUUUGGCUGCGGGAUAAAGGUCAGAGGAAUGUGGCACCUUCGGGUGUGUUAUAGCCUCUGGUCAUAUACCGUGGCUGGGACUGAGGAUCUCAGCACGCCUUUAUGGCGGGGGUUCGCCCACCUUCGUGCUUCGGAUGCUGGCGUAAUGGCUUUAAACGACCCGUCUUGAAACACGGACCAAGGAGUCUAACAUGCCUGCGAGUGUUUGGGUGGAAAACCCGAGCGCGUAAUGAAAGUGAAAGUUGGGAUCUCUGUCGUGGAGAGCACCGACGCCCGGACCAGACCUUCUGUGACGGAUCCGCGGUAGAGCAUGUAUGUUGGGACCCGAAAGAUGGUGAACUAUGCCUGAAUAGGGUGAAGCCAGAGGAAACUCUGGUGGAGGCUCGUAGCGAUUCUGACGUGCAAAUCGAUCGUCAAAUUUGGGUAUAGGGGCGAAAGACUAAUCGA